UUAAGUGCCCUUCCUCUGUUGAGCUCCAAACACCAUAGACCAGACAACUGCUGAGCGUGUGAGUAAAGGUGUGCGGAAGCUAUUGCUACUCAGGAAGCCACGGGGUCACCUGGAGGUGGCACUAGGCAGAGAGACACAUGAGAGUCACUGUUGCGGCCUUGGGUUCAGCCUCGGUCGCAUGCUGCUGGGUCCCAGGAAGGCUCUGGAUCCCCAGUGAGCCUUCAUUUCCUCCACUGUGAAAUAAGGCGCCUUGCACCCGAGGAGUGGUACACACGGACAUCACACUCACAGGACACUGCCUACACAAUUCAACGCAGGCUCCUACUGCUUAAGGGUUGGCUUAGGCCAGUCUGGGGAAGAAACGGCUUAAAGGGAUCCAGUCUUGGGGGAGCCCUACACUUCUUACCUUCAGAAUUCAAGUAGGCUUGCUUUGGAGGGUCAUAGAGAAAAAUCUCCACCAGGAGGGAAUGAACUCCUCUGAAGUGCUGUGAAACUUCACAACGAGGUCUGAUCACAGGGGAGCCUGGGAGUCAGGGCUCACCUCCAAGAUCUUCAGAUCCUCUCUGGCCGGCGCAGGGACUGCCCAGCCCAACCACCCGCGCCUGCGCAUACCACCAUGUGAGAAGCCCUCCUGAGGUCUGCAGCAUCCUCCAGCCCUGCAAAGAGCCCCUACCCCCAGUAUCACGUGACCAGAGUAUUGCUCAGCCGGAGCUCGGCAUUUUACCCAGAACAUUAAUUGUCUGAUGGUCAAGAAAACAAUAGAAGCCAAUUCUAAUACAUCUACAAGGAAAAUGAGAAAACACACACACACACUGCAUGCACUCGAGUACUUAAAAAAAAAAAAAGAACUUGGGUAUUACAUGAAUGGUGAAUUUAUCAGACCUGAAAUGUGAAAGUAACUCUCAUUAUGAUGUGAAGAGUUCUAAGGGAUGAAGUGGACUGUGGGAGCCAACAAGGUGGCAAAGUGUCAUUUGAGAGUGUCUGUGGAUCGAUGGAAAGUCUGGGACAAGCACUUUAAAAAAGGAAAGACAGCCCACCACCCAUCAGGGGUAGAAGAAAAGAAAGGAUACAGGGGAAGUGGACCCAUUUAGAAAUGGCUCUUUGGAGUAACUCCCAUCUGUGUUGUCAGGAAACCAGCAGUUCAGUUUGAAGAUCAGCAGCAACUGGAUCCCCUCGAAAGCAUUUUAUGGAUAUACCAGCAGACCGGUAGUGUUGGGAUAGCAGCAGUGGUGGCACAGCCUAGCAGGAACAGCCAGGCCUCAGCCCAAUCUGCGCAAGUCAGCAGGAGGGAUUCACUAUUCCAUACAACUUUUGGUGUUGGGCCAGGGCCAACAGGAACACCAGAAAAUUUCAGCUGUGCCUCCCUCAGUGAAGAGAUCAGUGAAGAUGAGAUACCAACAAGCGUUGCACAGCUAGUUCUACCAGCAAAUCCAGCCAAGCCUCUGUCACUGUCCACUGAGUCCUUUUUAUACUCUCUCCAAAUAUUGCAGAUCCUCCACGGUUCUUGUCUCAGCCUUAGCAUGCGUGUCUGUCUCAGCUGACAUCAUUCUGCCAAUCAGCCAGAGCCCAGAGAAGCGGCAAGAAGUGCAGCACCCCAUCCGAACUUUUUUGGUGUGUUUCUCUCUAUAGAGUCCCAACAAAUGCAGCUCAACUAAGCAGUGUAAGGCGGACCAAUACAUGCAUGCCUGUAG
Mastomys coucha (southern multimammate mouse) is the source of this 1691-nucleotide long non-coding RNA. RefSeq lists it as uncharacterized. The transcript has 3 exons. The record is from RefSeq and is a predicted model, not a curated record. NCBI's taxonomy places the organism in Eukaryota, Metazoa, Chordata, Mammalia, Rodentia, Muridae.